RNAcentral lists this ribosomal RNA (794 nucleotides) under uncultured bacterium. Its description in RNAcentral is "bacterial SSU rRNA". It matches the Rfam family "Bacterial small subunit ribosomal RNA", at positions 9 to 796 of the family's 1533-position model. The record is from RNAcentral.
GAGUUUGAUCCUGGCUCAGAUUGAACGCUGGCGGAAUGCUUUACACAUGCAAGUCGAACGGCAGCACAGGAGCUUGCUCCUGGUGGCGAGUGGCGAACGGGUGAGUAAUGCGUCGGAACGUAUCCAUUAAUGGGGGAUAACGCAGCGAAAGCUGUGCUAAUACCGCAUACGCCCCGAGGGGGAAAGCAGGGGAUCUUCGGACCUUGCGUUAUUGGAGCGGCCGACGUCUGAUUAGCUAGUUGGUGAGGUAAAGGCUCACCAAGGCGACGAUCAGUAGCUGGUCUGAGAGGAUGAUCAGCCACACUGGAACUGAGACACGGUCCAGACUCCUACGGGAGGCAGCAGUGGGGAAUUUUGGACAAUGGGCGCAAGCCUGAUCCAGCCAUUCCGCGUGAGUGAAGAAGGCCUUCGGGUUGUAAAGCUCUUUCGGCAGGGAAGAAACAGUUGAGGCUAAUAUCCUUGACCAAUGACGGUACCUGCAUAAGAAGCACCGGCUAACUACGUGCCAGCAGCCGCGGUAAUACGUAGGGUGCGAGCGUUAAUCGGAAUUACUGGGCGUAAAGCGUGCGCAGGCGGUUUUUCAAGUCUGAUGUGAAAGCCCCGGGCUUAACCUGGGAACUGCGUUGGAAACUGAAAGACUAGAGUGCGGCAGAGGGGGGUAGAAUUCCACGUGUAGCAGUGAAAUGCGUAGAUAUGUGGAGGAAUACCGAUGGCGAAGGCAGCCCCCUGGGUCGACACUGACGCUCAUGCACGAAAGCGUGGGUAGCAAACAGGAUUAGAUACCCUGGUAGUCG